UGGUGAUCGCUGGUGUGCCGUCUUUGGCACACGGGAGGAAAGUCCGGGCUUCUAAGGGCAGGGCGCUGGGUAACUCCCAGGAGGCGCAAUAGCGUUUACGGAAAGUGGCACAGAAACAGAACCGCCGAUGGUCGUCAAGACACAGGUAAGGGUGAAAACGUGCGGUAAGAGCGCACGACUUAUAGUGGUGACACUAAAGUGGCCAAACCCCGCUCGAAGCAAGGCCAAAUAGGAGGAUAGAGAGUAUUAACUACUUUCAGGAAUGUCCUUUCCAUCCUCGGGUAGGCCGCUUAAGUUAAUCUGGUAACAAUUAACGUAGAUGGAUGAUCACCCCCCUAUUUAGGACGACAAGUUGUCCGAAAAGGGUACAGAACCCGGCUUAUAAGU
This 387-nucleotide RNase P RNA is filed under the name marine eukaryotic metagenome. Its description in RNAcentral is "Bacterial RNase P class A". It matches the Rfam family "Bacterial RNase P class A". Rfam says of the family: Ribonuclease P (RNase P) is a ubiquitous endoribonuclease, found in archaea, bacteria and eukarya as well as chloroplasts and mitochondria. Its best characterised activity is the generation of mature 5'-ends of tRNAs by cleaving the 5'-leader elements of precursor-tRNAs. Cellular RNase Ps are ribonucleoproteins. The record is from RNAcentral.